GGUCUUGUAGCACAGUGGUUAGUGCUUUGUACUUAUGGGCUACAUUUAUGCAAGGGUCGCGAGUUCAAAUCUCGCCAAGACCA
RNAcentral lists this transfer RNA (83 nucleotides) under Serendipita sp. 399. RNAcentral describes it as "tRNA-Ile". It matches the Rfam family "tRNA". Rfam says of the family: Transfer RNA (tRNA) molecules are approximately 80 nucleotides in length. Their secondary structure includes four short double-helical elements and three loops (D, anti-codon, and T loops). Lineage: Eukaryota; Fungi; Basidiomycota; Agaricomycetes; Sebacinales; Serendipitaceae. The record is from RNAcentral.